GCAGUGGGGAAUAUUGCACAAUGGGCGCAAGCCUGAUGCAGCCAUGCCGCGUGUGUGAAGAAGGCCUUCGGGUUGUAAAGCACUUUCAGUCGUGAGGAAGGUGGUAGUGUUAAUAGCACUAUCAUUUGACGUUAGCGACAGAAGAAGCACCGGCUAACUCCGUGCCAGCAGCCGCGGUAAUACGGAGGGUGCGAGCGUUAAUCGGAAUUACUGGGCGUAAAGCGCAUGCAGGUGGUUUGUUAAGUCAGAUGUGAAAGCCCGGGGCUCAACCUCGGAACUGCAUUUGAAACUGGCAGACUAGAGUACUGUAGAGGGGGGUAGAAUUUCAGGUGUAGCGGUGAAAUGCGUAGAGAUCUGAAGGAAUACCGGUGGCGAAGGCGGCCCCCUGGACAGAUACUGACACUCAGAUGCGAAAGCGUGGGGAGCAAACAGGAUUAGAUACCCUGGUAGUCCACGCUGUAAACGAUGUCUACUUGGAGGUUGUGGCCUUGAGCCGUGGCUUUCGGAGCUAACGCGUUAAGUAGA
RNAcentral lists this ribosomal RNA (525 nucleotides) under Vibrio vulnificus. RNAcentral describes it as "bacterial SSU rRNA". It matches the Rfam family "Bacterial small subunit ribosomal RNA", at positions 351 to 868 of the family's 1533-position model. Lineage: Bacteria; Pseudomonadati; Pseudomonadota; Gammaproteobacteria; Vibrionales; Vibrionaceae. The record is from RNAcentral.